Diorhabda carinulata is the source of this 312-nucleotide long non-coding RNA. RefSeq lists it as uncharacterized. NCBI's taxonomy places the organism in Eukaryota, Metazoa, Arthropoda, Insecta, Coleoptera, Chrysomelidae. The record is from RefSeq and is a predicted model, not a curated record. The transcript has 3 exons.
GAAGAAGCUUCGAUUUAAUGGCUUUCUCGGUCAUAUGAUUUUAAGACUAACAGUUUGAUCGUAUCUUAAUGGAAAAAUCUAUACUACAGAGUUUUACCUAUCCUAUAGGCGGGACACUUUAUACGACACCCUGUAUAGUUAUGCGUGUUUAAAACAGGUCUUUGUAAAUGCAAAGGAACUGUAAAUGGUGCCAAAUAUGGCCAGUGUCACACGGAUGUUGUCACUGAUACAAAAUUCAAUUAUAUCUACUCAAACGAAUACAAUGGGUUGUUAAUUUGAUAAAAAAGUAAUAUUUUUAUUGAAUGUAGUCUC